This 248-nucleotide ribosomal RNA is filed under the name uncultured Eubacteriales bacterium. RNAcentral's name for it is "uncultured Clostridiales bacterium partial 16S ribosomal RNA". It matches the Rfam family "Bacterial small subunit ribosomal RNA", at positions 524 to 770 of the family's 1533-position model. Lineage: Bacteria; Bacillati; Bacillota; Clostridia; Eubacteriales. The record is from RNAcentral.
UACGUAGGGGGCAAGCGUUGUUCGGAAUGACUGGGCGUAAAGGGUGUGUAGGUGGUUUAGCAAGUUAGAUGUGUAAUACCCAGGGCUUAACUCGGGUGCUGCAUCUAAAACUGUUAGACUUGAGUACUGGAGAGGAUAGUGGAAUUCCUAGUGUAGCGGUGGAAUGCGUAGAUAUUAGGAGGAACAUCAGUGGCGAAGGCGACUAUCUGGACAGCAACUGACACUGAGGCACGAAAGCGUGGGGAGCA